AUUGAACGCUGGCGGCAGGCUUAACACAUGCAAGUCGAGCGGGGUGAUGGUGCUUGCACUAUCACUUAGCGGCGGACGGGUGAGUAAUGCUUAGGAAUCUGCCUAUUAGUGGGGGACAACAUCUCGAAAGGGAUGCUAAUACCGCAUACGUCCUACGGGAGAAAGCAGGGGAUCACUUGUGACCUUGCGCUACUAGAUGAGCCUAAGUCGGAUUAGCUAGUUGGUGGGGUAAAGGCCUACCAAGGCGACGAUCUGUAGCGGGUCUGAGAGGAUGAUCCGCCACACUGGGACUGAGACACGGCCCAGACUCCUACGGGAGGCAGCAGUGAAGAAUAUUGGACAAUGGGGGGAACCCUGAACCAGCCAUGCCGCGUGUGUGAAGAAGGCCUUAUGGUUAUCAAGAACAGAAAGCGAGGAGGAGGCUAAGGGGGGGAAGACCCAAGAUGAGUGGACGUUACUCGCAGAAUAAGCACCGGCUAACUCUGUGCCAGCAGCCGCGGUAA
Molecule: ribosomal RNA, 503 nt
Filed under: uncultured bacterium
Lineage: Bacteria
Description: partial 16S ribosomal RNA
Rfam family: Bacterial small subunit ribosomal RNA
Source: RNAcentral